GACCUGUUAAGGAUCAUUGUUGAGGCCCGUCGAGCAGUGAGACCCCCGAACCAGUGACCCUAACGAGAUGCGCGUGGCUCGGAGAGUGCGGCACAGCUUGCUCUCCCGGGGGACCACGCGAUGAACCAUCCCCGGCGCGAUGGGCAUUAGGGAAUUGAGAUGGAAUAGGCGUGGCUCCCUCCGAGGAUGCCGGCRCGCGUUCAGAACUUAUACGAUUCUCCGUAAUGGAUAUCUCGGCUCUCGCAUUAAUGAAGAAUGUAGCGAAAUGCGAUACUUGGUGUGAAUUUCAGAAUCUUGUGAACCAUCGAGUCUUUGAACACAAGUUACGCCCAAGGCCACUCGRCUGAGGGCAUGCCUACCUGGGCAUCACGCACCGUGCUGCCCCACYAGGCACUCACCCCAUCUGGCGGUGGUGCCGCAGGGUGGAGACUGGCCACUCAUGUGCCUUG
RNAcentral lists this unclassified non-coding RNA (449 nucleotides) under Magnolia balansae. RNAcentral's name for it is "partial contains internal transcribed spacer 1, 5.8S ribosomal RNA, and internal transcribed spacer 2". Lineage: Eukaryota; Viridiplantae; Streptophyta; Magnoliopsida; Magnoliales; Magnoliaceae. The record is from RNAcentral.